This 437-nucleotide ribosomal RNA is filed under the name uncultured Oscillospiraceae bacterium. RNAcentral's name for it is "bacterial SSU rRNA". It matches the Rfam family "Bacterial small subunit ribosomal RNA", at positions 341 to 792 of the family's 1533-position model. Lineage: Bacteria; Bacillati; Bacillota; Clostridia; Eubacteriales; Oscillospiraceae. The record is from RNAcentral.
ACGGGAGGCAGCAGUGGGGAAUAUUGGGCAAUGGGCGAAAGCCUGACCCAGCAACGCCGCGUGAAGGAAGAAGGUUUUCGGAUUGUAAACUUCUUUUAUCAGGGACGAAGAAAGUGACGGUACCUGAUGAAUAAGCCACGGCUAACUACGUGCCAGCAGCCGCGGUAAUACGUAGGUGGCAAGCGUUAUCCGGAUUUACUGGGUGUAAAGGGCGCGUAGGCGGGGAUGCAAGUCAGGUGUGAAAUCUAUGGGCUUAACCCAUAAACUGCAUUUGAAACUGUAUCUCUUGAGUGUCGGAGAGGUAGACGGAAUUCCUAGUGUAGCGGUGAAAUGCGUAGAUAUUAGGAGGAACACCAGUGGCGAAGGCGGUCUACUGGACGAUAACUGACGCUGAGGCGCGAAAGCGUGGGGAGCAAACAGGAUUAGAUACCCUGGUA